This 427-nucleotide ribosomal RNA is filed under the name uncultured bacterium. Its description in RNAcentral is "bacterial SSU rRNA". It matches the Rfam family "Bacterial small subunit ribosomal RNA", at positions 19 to 507 of the family's 1533-position model. The record is from RNAcentral.
AUGCCUCAGAAUAAACGCUAGCGAUACACCUAACACAUGCAAGUUGAACGCAUAUAUUUUUAUAUGAGUAGCGAACGGGUGCGUAACACGUGAGAAUCUACCCAUAGCUUAUGGUUAAAUGCCGUAGAAUCUUAUAGAUUUAGAUAUAUAUCGGUUAUGGAUGAGCUUGCGGGGUAUUAGGUAGUUGGUGUGGUAAUGGCGCACCAAGCCCAAGAUGCCUAGCCGGUUUGAGAGAACGAUCGGCCACACUGGGACUGAGACACGGCCCAGACGCUUACGAGCGGCAGCAGUGGGGAAUAUUGGACAAUGGGCGAAAGCCUGAUCCAGUGAUAUCGCUUUGGGGAUGACGGCGACAUACGUUGUAAACCCAAUGAAGUACGUUUAGAUUAUGACCGUACGUAUUUUAGAAGUCCCGGCUAAUCUCGUG